GAUGAACGCUGGCGGCGUGCCUAAUACAUGCAAGUCGAGCGAAGCGGGGACGGGUGAGUAACACGUGCAUGACCUUCUAUCAGACUGGGAACACUUCCGGUAACCGCAGCUAAACCGGAUCCUUUAUGAUGGAUUCGCGUUGCAUUAGCUAGUUGGUGAGGUCACGGCUUACCAAGGCAACGACACCUAGCCGACCUGAGAGGGGGAGCGGCCACACUGGAACUGAGACACGGUCCAGACUCCUACGGGAGGCAGCAGUAGGGAAUCUUCCGCAAUGGGCGAAAGCCUGACGGAGCAACGCCGCGUGAGUGAAGAAGGUCUUCGGAUCGUAAAACUCUUUUAUUGGGGAAGCGGUACCUGAUCAGAAAGCCACGGCUAACUACGUGCCAGCAGCCGCGGUAAUAC
RNAcentral lists this ribosomal RNA (405 nucleotides) under uncultured bacterium. RNAcentral's name for it is "partial 16S ribosomal RNA". It matches the Rfam family "Bacterial small subunit ribosomal RNA", at positions 28 to 526 of the family's 1533-position model. The record is from RNAcentral.